UGUAGGCGGUGCGGUAAGUUGGGCGUGAAAUCCCCGAGCUUAACUCGGGUGGGCCGUUCAAGACUGCCGUGCUAGGGUGCGGGAGAGGGAAGUGGAAUUUCCGGUGUAGCGGUGAAAUGCGUAGAUAUCGGGAGGAACACCUGCGGCGAAGGCGGCUUCCUGGACCGUAACCGACGCUGAGGCGCGAAAGCUAGGGGAGCAAACAGGAUUAGAUACCCUGGUAGUCCUAGCCCUAAACGAUGAGCACUGGGUGUGGCCCCUCACGGGGCCGUGCCGAAGCUAACGCAUUAAGUGCUCCGCCUGGGGAGUACGGUCGCAAGGCUAGAA
This 327-nucleotide ribosomal RNA is filed under the name uncultured bacterium. RNAcentral describes it as "bacterial SSU rRNA". It matches the Rfam family "Bacterial small subunit ribosomal RNA", at positions 570 to 899 of the family's 1533-position model. The record is from RNAcentral.